AACGAACGCUGGCGGCAUGCCUAACACAUGCAAGUCGAACGAGAUCUUCGGGUCUAGUGGCGCACGGGUGCGUAACGCGUGGGAAUCUGCCCUUUGGUUCGGAAUAACAGUUGGAAACGACUGCUCAUACCGGAUGAUGACGAAAGUCCAAAGAUUUAUCGCCAGAGGAUUAGCCCGGUUAGGAUUAGCUAGUUGGUGUGGUAAAGGAGCACCAAGGGGACGAUCCUUAGCUGGUCUGAGAGGAUGAUCAGCCACACUGGGACUGGGACACGGCCCAGACUCCGACGGGAGGCGGCAGUGGGGAAUAUUGGACAAUGGGCGAAAGCCUGAUCCAGCAAUGCCGCGUGAGUGAUGAAGGCCUUAGGGUUGUAAAGCUCUUUUACCCGGGAUGAUAAUGACAGUACCGGGAGAAUAAGCUCCGGCUAACUCCGUGCCAGCCGCCGCCGUAA
Molecule: ribosomal RNA, 449 nt
Filed under: uncultured bacterium
Lineage: Bacteria
Description: partial 16S ribosomal RNA
Rfam family: Bacterial small subunit ribosomal RNA
Source: RNAcentral